This 490-nucleotide ribosomal RNA is filed under the name uncultured bacterium. RNAcentral describes it as "partial 16S ribosomal RNA". It matches the Rfam family "Bacterial small subunit ribosomal RNA", at positions 30 to 507 of the family's 1533-position model. The record is from RNAcentral.
AUUGAACGCUGGCGGCAUGCUUUACACAUGCAAGUCGGACGGCAGCACAGAGGAGCUUGCUUCUUGGGUGGCGAGUGGCGAACGGGUGAGUAACGCAUCGGAACGUACCGAGUAAUGGGGGAUAACUGUCCGAAAGGACAGCUAAUACCGCAUACGCCCUGAGGGGGAAAGCGGGGGAUCUUAGGACCUCGCGUUAUUCGAGCGGCCGAUGUCUGAUUAGCUGGUUGGCGGGGUAAAGGCCCACCAAGGCGACGAUCAGUAGCGGGUCUGAGAGGAUGAUCCGCCACACUGGGACUGAGACACGGCCCAGACUCCUACGGGAGGCAGCAGUGGGGAAUUUUGGACAAUGGGCGCAAGCCUGAUCCAGCCAUGCCGCGUGACUGAAGAAGGCCUUCGGGUUGUAAAGGACUUUUGUCAGGGAAGAAAAGGGGCAUGUUAAUACCGUGCUCUGAUGACGGUACCUGAAGAAUAAGCACCGGCUAACUACGUG